GUACUGCUGAAGAGUCCCAUAAUAGGACGAAACGGCCGUCCAGUAC
Schistosoma mansoni is the source of this 46-nucleotide non-coding RNA. Lineage: Eukaryota; Metazoa; Platyhelminthes; Trematoda; Strigeidida; Schistosomatidae. The record is from Rfam.